This 344-nucleotide ribosomal RNA is filed under the name uncultured bacterium. Its description in RNAcentral is "bacterial SSU rRNA". It matches the Rfam family "Bacterial small subunit ribosomal RNA", at positions 917 to 1264 of the family's 1533-position model. The record is from RNAcentral.
GGGCCCGCACAAGCGGUGGAGUAUGUGGUUUAAUUCGAUGCAACGCGAAGAACCUUACCAGGGUUUGACAUCCUGCGAAUCUCUUGGAAACGGGAGAGUGCCUUCGGGAACGCAGUGACAGGUGGUGCAUGGCUGUCGUCAGCUCGUGUCGUGAGAUGUUGGUUAAGUCCCGCAACGAGCGCAACCCACGUCUUUAGUUGCCAGCAUUUAGUUGGGCACUCUAGAGAGACUGCCGGUGAUAAGCCGGAGGAAGGCGGGAUGACGUCAAGUCCUCAUGGCCCUUAUGGGCUGGGCUACACACGUGCUACAAUGGCAGUGACAGAGGGACGCUACCAGGUGACUGG